AUUGAACGCUGGCGGCAUGCCUUACACAUGCAAGUCGAACGGUAACGCGGGGCAACCUGGCGACGAGUGGCGAACGGGUGAGUAAUGUAUCGGAACGUGCCCAGUUGGGGGGGAUAAAUGCUCUAAAGAGCAACUAAUACCGCAUACGACCUGAGGGUGAAAGGGGGGGAUCGCACGACCCCGCGCAUUUGGAUCGGCCGAUAUAUGAGUAGGUAGUUGGUGGGUGAAAGGCUCACCAAGCCAACGAUCGGUAGCUGGUCUGAGAGGACGACCAGCCACACUGGGACUGAGACACGGGCCAGACUCCUACGGGAGGCAGCAGUGGGGAAUUUUGGACAAUGGGCGCAAGCCGGAUCCAGCCAUGCCGCGUGCGGGAAGAAGGCCUUCGGGUUGUAAACCGCUUUUGUCAGGGAAGAAAAGACUCCUGUUAAUACCGGGGGUUCAUGACGGUACCUGAAGAAUAAGCACCGGCUAACUACGUGCCAGCCGCCGCGGUAA
RNAcentral lists this ribosomal RNA (498 nucleotides) under uncultured bacterium. Its description in RNAcentral is "partial 16S ribosomal RNA". It matches the Rfam family "Bacterial small subunit ribosomal RNA", at positions 29 to 523 of the family's 1533-position model. The record is from RNAcentral.